UCGAGAGUUUGAUCCUGGCUCAGGAUGAACGCUAGCGGCAGGCUUAACACAUGCAAGUCGAGGGGUAUAGUUCUUCGGAGCUAGAGACCGGCGCACGGGUGCGUAACGCGUAUGCAAUCUACCUUUUACAGAGGGAUAGCCCAGAGAAAUUUGGAUUAAUACCUCAUAGUAUGUGAGAAUCGCAUUGGUUUUCACAUUAAAGUUCCAACGGUAAAAGAAUGAGCAUGCGUCCCAUUAGCUAGAGUGGUAGA
This 251-nucleotide ribosomal RNA is filed under the name uncultured Flavobacterium sp. RNAcentral describes it as "partial 16S ribosomal RNA". It matches the Rfam family "Bacterial small subunit ribosomal RNA", at positions 1 to 257 of the family's 1533-position model. The record is from RNAcentral. Lineage: Bacteria; Pseudomonadati; Bacteroidota; Flavobacteriia; Flavobacteriales; Flavobacteriaceae.